This 366-nucleotide ribosomal RNA is filed under the name uncultured bacterium. RNAcentral's name for it is "partial 16S ribosomal RNA". It matches the Rfam family "Bacterial small subunit ribosomal RNA", at positions 338 to 696 of the family's 1533-position model. The record is from RNAcentral.
CCUACGGGAGGCAGCAGUAGGGAAUCUUCGGCAAUGGACGAAAGUCUGACCGAGCAACGCCGCGUGAGUGAAGACGGUUUUCGGAUCGUAAAACUCUGUUGGUAGAGAAGAACGUUGGUGAGAGUGGAAAGCUCAUCAAGUGACGGUAACUACACAGAAAGCGACGGCAAACUACGUGCCAGCAGCCGCGGUAAUACGUAGGUCCUGAGCGUUGUCGGGUUUAAUUGGGUGUAAAGCGGGCGCAGGUGGUUUAUUAAGUCUGGGGUAAAAGGCAGUGGCUAAACCAUUGUAUGCAUUGGAGACUGGUAGACUUGAGUGCAGGAGAGGAAGGUGGAAUUCCAGGUGUAGCGGUGAAAUGCGUAGAUA